RNAcentral lists this ribosomal RNA (492 nucleotides) under uncultured bacterium. RNAcentral's name for it is "partial 16S ribosomal RNA". It matches the Rfam family "Bacterial small subunit ribosomal RNA", at positions 29 to 507 of the family's 1533-position model. The record is from RNAcentral.
AGUGAACGCUGGCGGUAGGCCUAACACAUGCAAGUCGAACGGCAGCACAGUAAGAGCUUGCUCUUACGGGUGGCGAGUGGCGGACGGGUGAGGAAUACAUCGGAAUCUACUUUUUCGUGGGGGAUAACGUAGGGAAACUUACGCUAAUACCGCAUACGACCUACGGGUGAAAGCAGGGGAUCUUCGGACCUUGCGCGAUUGAAUGAGCCGAUGUCGGAUUAGCUAGUUGGCGGGGUAAAGGCCCACCAAGGCGACGAUCCGUAGCUGGUCUGAGAGGAUGAUCAGCCACACUGGAACUGAGCCACGGUCCAGACUCCUACGGGAGGCAGCAGUGGGGAAUAUUGGACAAUGGGCGCAAGCCUGAUCCAGCCAUACCGCGUGGGUGAAGAAGGCCUUCGGGUUGUAAAGCCCUUUUGUUGGGAAAGAAAAGCAGCAGGUUAAUAUCCCGCUGUUCUGACGGUACCCAAAGAAUAAGCACCGGCUAACUUCGUG